UGAACACAGUUAGGUAGUGAUGACGC
RNAcentral lists this non-coding RNA (26 nucleotides) under Homo sapiens (human). Lineage: Eukaryota; Metazoa; Chordata; Mammalia; Primates; Hominidae. The record is from RNAcentral.